Molecule: non-coding RNA, 735 nt
Filed under: Diaphanes mendax
Lineage: Eukaryota; Metazoa; Arthropoda; Insecta; Coleoptera; Lampyridae
Source: RNAcentral
GAAAAGUUUAAUUUUAACUUAUUUGUUUAGUUAAUUGUUAUGUUACAUGUAAUAUUUUUUAAAAAGAAAUUUUUCAGUAAUUAUUUUUAUUAAAUUAAUAAUUUAAUUUUAGUAAUUAAUUAUAGGUCUAAUAAAAUUUGUGCCAGCAAUUGCGGUUAAACAAAUAGAUCAAUUAAAUAUUUUUAGUUAUAAUAAUUUAUCUUUUUAUUUUUUAUUAAAAUUUUAAGGUGAAAUUUAAAUUUUAAUAAUUUUAUUUAAAAUAAUGAUUUAAUAAAAUUAUAUAAAAAACUAGGAUUAGAUACCCUAUUAUUUUUAAUUGUAAAAUUAAAUUCUUGAUUAGUAUUAGUUAUGUUCUUUAAAAUUAAAAAAUUUGGCGGUAUUUUAAUCAGUUCAGAGGAACCUGUUCUAUAAUUGAUAGUCCACGAUAUUUUUGACUUAUUCUUUAAGUUUGUAUAUCGUUGUUAAUGAAUUUCUUUUUAGGGAAAAUUUUCUUUUAUUUUUAUAUUAAUAGAUUUCAGAUCAAGGUGCAGCUUAUGGAUAAGAAGAAAUGGGUUACAAUAAAAAUAUUUUUGGUUAUUAAAUUUAAAUUUUUAAUAUAAAUUGGAUUUGAUAGUAAUUAUAUUAAUUUAAUUUUAAUGAUUAUUGUUCUAAAAUAUGUACAUAUUGCCCGUCACUCUCAAUAAAUUUGAGAAAAGUCGUAACAAAGUAGAUGUACUGGAAAGUGUAUCUAGAAUA